CUUCGGGAUUAGUGGCGGACGGGUGAGUAACACGUGGGAACGGUGCCCUUUGGUUCGGAACAACUCAGGGAAACUUGAGCUAAUACCGGAUGUGCCCUUCGGGGGAAAGAUUUAUCGCCAUUGGAGCGGCCCGCGUCUGAUUAGCUAGUUGGUGAGGUAAAGGCUCACCAAGGCGACGAUCAGUAGCUGGUCUGAGAGGAUGAUCAGCCACAUUGGGACUGAGACACGGCCCAAACUCCUACGGGAGGCAGCAGUGGGGAAUCUUGCGCAAUGGGCGAAAGCCUGACGCAGCCAUGCCGCGUGAAUGAUGAAGGUCUUAGGAUUGUAAAAUUCUUUCACCGGGGACGAUAAUGACGGUACCCGGAGAAGAAGCCCCGGCUAACUUCGUGCCAGCAGCCGCGGUAAUACGAAGGGGGCUAGCGUUGCUCGGAAUUACUGGGCGUAAAGGGAGCGUAGGCGGACUGUUUAGUCAGAGGUGAAAGCCCAGGGCUCAACCUUGGAAUUGCCUUUGAUACUGGCAGUCUUGAGUACGGAAGAGGUAUGUGGAACUCCGAGUGUAGAGGUGAAAUUCGUAGAUAUUCGGAAGAACACCAGUGGCGAAGGCGACAUACUGGUCCGUUACUGACGCUGAGGCUC
Molecule: ribosomal RNA, 636 nt
Filed under: uncultured Alphaproteobacteria bacterium
Lineage: Bacteria; Pseudomonadati; Pseudomonadota; Alphaproteobacteria
Description: bacterial SSU rRNA
Rfam family: Bacterial small subunit ribosomal RNA
Source: RNAcentral